RNAcentral lists this long non-coding RNA (460 nucleotides) under Pan troglodytes (chimpanzee). Its description in RNAcentral is "long non-coding RNA NONPTRT003585". Lineage: Eukaryota; Metazoa; Chordata; Mammalia; Primates; Hominidae. The record is from RNAcentral.
UGGAAGAGCCAGGACUCACCCCCAGUUUUUGUUUCUUUUCCAAGCUAGAGUAUUUGGAAAUAUUGAGAAGUGAGAGAGUAUUCUGCCAAAUCAUGUCACUAAGCAACGUAUUUUUGGUUGUCUUUAUCUCCCAGGCCUUUUGUCAGCCCAAAAUUUCAGAGUUACACAUGUUACCCUAACAGAAAUAUUUUUACACUGGGAUCCUCCAGAUCCUGUAUUUUUUCAUCAUUACCUUAUCACUAUUUUGGAUGUUGAAAACAAUACAUCAGAAGAGGUGUUUGUUGAAAAACGCAACACAGCAACCAUAGUUGGAGACCUCAAGUCUUUUCAUCAUUAUCUGGUAUAUCUAUUCAGUGUAGCAGAAAGAGGAACUUUAAGUUGCUUGGAGAAACCACUUUCAGUCAUUACAGAACCCAAACCAGUCUGGAUUGUUAUCCCCUAUGAAAGUCGUAGUACCUCU